RNAcentral lists this ribosomal RNA (863 nucleotides) under uncultured Methanocella sp. RNAcentral's name for it is "bacterial SSU rRNA". It matches the Rfam family "Archaeal small subunit ribosomal RNA", at positions 1 to 872 of the family's 1478-position model. Lineage: Archaea; Methanobacteriati; Methanobacteriota; Methanomicrobia; Methanocellales; Methanocellaceae. The record is from RNAcentral.
UUCUGGUUGAUCCCGCCGGAGGUCACUGCUAUCGGUGUCCGAUUAAGCCAUGCGAGUCGAGAGGUGUAAGACCUCGGCAGACUGCUCAGUAACACGUGGAUAACCUGCCCAAGGGUCCGGGAUAACCCCGGGAAACUGGGGAUAAUACCGGAUGGGUCACCAGUGCUGGAAUGCUUGGUGGUCGAAAGGUGACGCCUUUGGAUGGGUCUGCGGCGGAUUAGGUUGACGCCGGUGUAACGUACCGGCGUGCCUGUAAUCCGUACGGGUUGUGGGAGCAAGAGCCCGGAGAUGGAUUCUGAGACACGAAUCCAGGCCCUACGGGGCGCAGCAGGCGCGAAAACUCUACAAUGCAGGCAACUGCGAUAGGGGGACAUCGAGUGGCAUCCACCUUGGGUGUCUGUCCAACCGUCUAAAAAACGGUUGUUAGCAAGGGCCGGGCAAGACCGGUGCCAGCCGCCGCGGUAAUACCGGCGGCUCGAGUGGUGGCCGAUAUUAUUGAGUCUAAAGGGUCCGUAGCCGGCUUUGCAAGUCCCCUGGGAAAUCCGGCGGCUUAACCGUUGGGCUUUCAUGGGAUACUACAUUGCUUGGGACUGGGAGAGGUAGGAGGUACUCGGGGGGUAGGGGUGAAAUCCUGUAAUCCUCCGGGGACACCGGUGGCGAAGGCGUCCUACCAGAACAGGUCCGACGGUGAGGGACGAAAGCUAGGGGCACGAACCGGAUUAGAUACCCGGGUAGUCCUAGCCGUAAACGAUGCCCGCUAGGUGUCACGACGGUCGUUAAUCGUCGUGGUGCCGUAGGGAAGCCGCGAAGCGGGCCACUUGGGAAGUACGGCCGCAAGGCUGAAACUUAAAGGAAUUGGCGGG